RNAcentral lists this ribosomal RNA (434 nucleotides) under uncultured organism. RNAcentral's name for it is "bacterial SSU rRNA". It matches the Rfam family "Bacterial small subunit ribosomal RNA", at positions 346 to 794 of the family's 1533-position model. The record is from RNAcentral.
GCGCACCAGGCGAGAAUUUUUCACAAUGGGGGAAACCCUGAUGGAGCGACGCCGCGUGGAGGAUGAAGGCGUUUUCGUCGUAAACUCCUGUCAAACGGGAACAAGAAAGUGAUAGUACCGUUAGAGGAAGAGGCGGCUAACUCUGUGCCAGCGGCCGCGGUAAUACAGAGGCCUCAAGCGUUGUUCGGAUUCAUUGGGCGUAAAGGGUGCGUAGGUGGCUUGGUAAGUUGAAGGUGAAAUCUCGGGGCUUAACUCCGAAACUGCCUUCAAUACUGCCGAGCUCGAGGAUUGUAGAGGAGAAUGGAAUUCACGGUGUAGCAGUGAAAUGCGUAGAUAUCGUGAGGAAGACCAGUGGCGAAGGCGAUUCUCUGGGCAAUUCCUGACACUGAGGCACGAAGGCUAGGGGAGCAAACGGGAUUAGAUACCCCCGUAGU